UCAACGAGUCUUUAUCCUUGGCCGACAGGCACGGGUAAUCUUUGAAAUUUCAUCGUGAUGGGGAUAGAUCAUUGCAAUUGUUGGUCUUCAACGAGGAAUUCCUAGUAAGCGCGAGUCAUCAGCUCGCGUUGACUACGUCCCUGCCCUUUGUACACACCGCCCGUCGCUCCUACCGAUUGAAUGAUCCGGUGAAGUGUUCGGAUCGCGUCGACGUGAGCGGUUCGCUGCCCGCGACGUCGCGAGAAGUCCACUGAACCUUAUCAUUUAGAGGAAGGAGAAGUCGUAACAAGGUUUCCGUAGGUGAACCUGCGGAAGGAUCAUUGUCGAAUCCCUAAAAACAAAAAUGACUUGAGAAUAUGUUCAAUAGCAUGCAUCGGGUGUGAGGGUAAAGCCUCUUCGUCCGUUGCUCUUUGUCCGACCAAUCGUUGGUUGUGUUGGGCAGUAAAAAACAAAAAUCGGCACGGGAAGUGCCAAGGGCUUAUGAAAUGGGAUGCUUUAUCGUGGAAGGGGAACCGUUCGCGGUAUACCUUUAUCACGAUUCUCAAAAGGUCUCCGUAAAUGAAACCUUAUACGACUCUCGACAACG
RNAcentral lists this ribosomal RNA (586 nucleotides) under Stapeliopsis breviloba. RNAcentral's name for it is "bacterial SSU rRNA". The stretch from base 1 to 323 matches the Rfam family "Eukaryotic small subunit ribosomal RNA", at positions 1512 to 1831 of the family's 1831-position model. Lineage: Eukaryota; Viridiplantae; Streptophyta; Magnoliopsida; Gentianales; Apocynaceae. The record is from RNAcentral.